Molecule: microRNA precursor, 205 nt
Filed under: Oryza sativa Japonica Group (Japanese rice)
Lineage: Eukaryota; Viridiplantae; Streptophyta; Magnoliopsida; Poales; Poaceae
Description: MIR812 microRNA precursor family
Rfam family: MIR812 microRNA precursor family
Source: Rfam by way of RNAcentral
AAUAAGUGUAGUCGUGGAUAUCUGUGUCCAAUAUUUGACCGUCCGUCUUAUUUGAAAAAUUUAUGAAAAAUUUAAAAAUAUUUAGUCACACAUAAAGUAUUAUUCAUGUUUUAUCAUCUAAUAGCAAUAAAAAUACUAAACAUAAAAUUUUAAAUAAGACGAACGGUCAAACGUUGAACGUGAAUAGUGCAAAACUGCACUUAUU